Molecule: ribosomal RNA, 626 nt
Filed under: Rhodococcus sp. (in: high G+C Gram-positive bacteria)
Lineage: Bacteria; Bacillati; Actinomycetota; Actinomycetes; Mycobacteriales; Nocardiaceae
Description: bacterial SSU rRNA
Rfam family: Bacterial small subunit ribosomal RNA
Source: RNAcentral
CGGUGCAGGAUGGGCCCGCGGCCUAUCAGCUUGUUGGUGGGGUAAUGGCCUACCAAGGCGACGACGGGUAGCCGACCUGAGAGGGUGACCGGCCACACUGGGACUGAGACACGGCCCAGACUCCUACGGGAGGCAGCAGUGGGGAAUAUUGCACAAUGGGCGAAAGCCUGAUGCAGCGACGCCGCGUGAGGGAUGACGGCCUUCGGGUUGUAAACCUCUUUCAGCAGGGACGAAGCGCAAGUGACGGUACCUGCAGAAGAAGCACCGGCUAACUACGUGCCAGCAGCCGCGGUAAUACGUAGGGUGCAAGCGUUGUCCGGAAUUACUGGGCGUAAAGAGUUCGUAGGCGGUUUGUCGCGUCGUUUGUGAAAACCAGCAGCUCAACUGCUGGCUUGCAGGCGAUACGGGCAGACUUGAGUACUGCAGGGGAGACUGGAAUUCCUGGUGUAGCGGUGAAAUGCGCAGAUAUCAGGAGGAACACCGGUGGCGAAGGCGGGUCUCUGGGCAGUAACUGACGCUGAGGAACGAAAGCGUGGGUAGCGAACAGGAUUAGAUACCCUGGUAGUCCACGCCGUAAACGGUGGGCGCUAGGUGUGGGUUCCUUCCACGGAAUCCGUGCCGUAGCU